UCGGGAAAGGAACGGCCCGCGUUGGAUUAGCUAGUUGGUGGGGUAACGGCCUACCAAGGCGACGAUCCAUAGCUGGUCUGAGAGGAUGAUCAGCCACAUUGGGACUGAGACACGGCCCAA
This 120-nucleotide ribosomal RNA is filed under the name uncultured bacterium. RNAcentral describes it as "partial 16S ribosomal RNA". It matches the Rfam family "Bacterial small subunit ribosomal RNA", at positions 215 to 334 of the family's 1533-position model. The record is from RNAcentral.